UAUAUAUAUAUAUAUAUAUAUACACAAAUAAUACACACUCAUACACACUCACACACACAUGUAUUUGCAUUAGCGAGAAGGAUGGAGACGACGGGUGAUCCAGGUAUUCUCGGUGAAAGACAAAUAUUAUUAGAAUUUUCCCAAGUUUCUUAUUUCUUUUUUCUUUUCUUUUUUUCCUCUCUUUCAACGCAGAAAAGAAAACUUUGUAUUAUCCUUGCGUGGAUUUCGAACGACCUUUCAAAGAAGAGACAUGCUAAAUCGUGCAAACGUUUGCUCGUUUAUUAACGAGCUUAAAACACUACGUAUCGCGCAUAAUAAAAUAUAUAGGUACAUACGCGCAUACACUUAACACACAUAUCUACAUACAUUUAUAUAUCUAUAUACAUACAUGUAUAUAUACACAUAUACAUAUAUACAUGUAUAUAUACACAUAUAUACAUCAUACAUAAAUAUGUACAAAUUAUAAUAAAAAAAGAGAAUGUUAAUCACGUUUCAGGUAUAUUAUACACCAAUUUCUAUGCGUACCGUUGAAUAUUACGUCACGUGUGUUGCCCGGUGAAGGUGUGUGUUUUAUCUUGUAUACAGUAAAUAAAAUAAAAUGGGAGAGAAAGAAAGGGAGAUAAGGGAGAGAGAGAGAAAGGGAAAGAGAGUGAGAGAGAGAGAAAGAGAAGGGUUGAUGAUAGGGUGAAUAGGAGAGGAGUAACCAAACGAAAAAGAAAUAUAGGAGAAAGGACGGGUAGUAAGUCGUUAAUUGAGAAAAUAAACCCCAUCCGAAUUUUCUGAGAAACGUCGUCUAAAAUUCACGACGAGUUUCUGUAGCUUCGAAUGAGAAAGAAAUAGAAAAAAAAUAGAAAGAAAAAGAAAGAAAGAGAGGAGAUGGUAUAGGAGGGAGAGAGAACGGGGUAAAAAAAACACACACGUGUUUCGUAAAGUAGCAGCAAUAGCAUUCGAAUAAGCGCAUUAACCGCGCUUCGUCUUGUCGUCUUCAAUGAUUCACCGAACGUUUCGAGCCAUCGGACUAGACAGCAGUCAUUCUUCUCUUCCUUUAAGAUUCUCUCUCUCUCUCUCUCUCUCUCUCUCUCUUUCUUUCUCUCUUUCCUUCUCUCUUUCACUCAGCUGUCUCAGCAGGGUUCAUUUCGCACGCGUGUCCGAACGAAGAGGAAAACUCGAAGCGUGCUAGGAAAGAGAGAGAGAGAGAGAGAGAGAGAGAGAGAGAGAGAGAGAGAGAGAGAGAGAGAGGAAAGAAAGGAGAGAAAGAGAUAUCUUAUAUGUUAAGAAGCGUGUAUGCUCGUGACGGAAAUAGAAGGAACUUAGAAGAAUUUAUUUUACGAACGAUGGAUAAUCAAGAAAAAAAUGGCCACGACGGCUCGUAAAACAUCCGAGAGACAACGGUUAAUGAUAUAGUACUUCAUGCAGAAAAGAAAAAAAAAGAAUGAAGAAAAAAAAAGAGGAA
Vespa crabro (European hornet) is the source of this 1453-nucleotide long non-coding RNA. RefSeq lists it as uncharacterized. NCBI's taxonomy places the organism in Eukaryota, Metazoa, Arthropoda, Insecta, Hymenoptera, Vespidae. The record is from RefSeq and is a predicted model, not a curated record. The transcript is spliced from 2 exons.